Non-coding RNA from Paramuricea clavata, 458 nucleotides. The record is from the annotation of a GenBank genome assembly. Lineage: Eukaryota; Metazoa; Cnidaria; Anthozoa; Malacalcyonacea; Plexauridae.
CGCGAAAAUCAUAACCCUAAUUUGGUAUUGAAUAAGUACGUGUCUGAUCGGUGCUGUUACUUUGAAUCAAAUUUUAUACCUUAUUUACAAAACCGAGGUUUUUAUGUUGAUUUUUAGAAUGCUCUCAAACAUCUCAAUAGUAUAAAUGAAGCUUUAAAUUGUUUUUUUGUUCAGUAUGAGGCUUCACGCCGUAUGUUUUAAAAUCAACAUUCGCACAUUAUACUAACCUUCUGUCGUGCGAUGAAAAUGCAUUUAUAGCUUACAGACAUCGACCAUUCUAUGCCAUUUCGUGAAAUAAAUCCAAACUCAGCGUUUUUAAGGUAAAACUAAGAUUCCAUUUUCAUCUCACAAAGCCUUCUCUCACAACUCGCCUUUAUGGGGCUCACUGAUUAAUAUGCCCUAUGGCUAUCUGACAAUAUAAUACGUCAACAAUUAGAGAGCUGCGUAUGCAUUUCCUG